This 478-nucleotide ribosomal RNA is filed under the name uncultured bacterium. RNAcentral describes it as "bacterial SSU rRNA". It matches the Rfam family "Bacterial small subunit ribosomal RNA", at positions 29 to 507 of the family's 1533-position model. The record is from RNAcentral.
AUGAACGCUAGCGGCAGGCUUAACACAUGCAAGUCGAGGGGUAGAAGGAGCUUGCUCCUUUGAGACCGGCGCACGGGUGCGUAACGCGUAUGCAAUCUACCUUUGCAGAGGGAUAGCCCAGAGAAAUUUGGAUUAAUACCUCAUAGUAUGUGAGGAUGGCAUCAUUUUCACAUUAAAGUCACAACGGCAAAAGAUGAGCAUGCGUCCCAUUAGCUAGUUGGUAAGGUAACGGCUUACCAAGGCUACGAUGGGUAGGGGUCCUGAGAGGGAGAUCCCCCACACUGGUACUGAGACACGGACCAGACUCCUACGGGAGGCAGCAGUGAGGAAUAUUGGACAAUGGGCGCAAGCCUGAUCCAGCCAUGCCGCGUGCAGGAUGACGGUCCUAUGGAUUGUAAACUGCUUUUGUACAGGAAGAAACACUACUUCGUGAAGUAGCUUGACGGUACUGUAAGAAUAAGGAUCGGCUAACUCCGUG